Molecule: ribosomal RNA, 480 nt
Filed under: uncultured bacterium
Lineage: Bacteria
Description: bacterial SSU rRNA
Rfam family: Bacterial small subunit ribosomal RNA
Source: RNAcentral
CUACGUGCCAGCAGCCGCGGUAAUACGGAGGGUGCGAGCGUUAAUCGGAAUAACUGGGCGUAAAGGGCACGCAGGCGGUGACUUAAGUGAGGUGUGAAAGCCCCGGGCUUAACCUGGGAAUUGCAUUUCAUACUGGGUCGCUAGAGUACUUUAGGGAGGGGUAGAAUUCCACGUGUAGCGGUGAAAUGCGUAGAGAUGUGGAGGAAUACCGAAGGCGAAGGCAGCCCCUUGGGAAUGUACUGACGCUCAUGUGCGAAAGCGUGGGGAGCAAACAGGAUUAGAUACCCUGGUAGUCCACGCUGUAAACGAUGUCGAUUUGGGGGUUGAACUUUGAGUUUGGCGCCCGUAGCUAACGUGAUAAAUCGACCGCCUGGGGAGUACGGCCGCAAGGUUAAAACUCAAAUGAAUUGACGGGGGCCCGCACAAGCGGUGGAGCAUGUGGUUUAAUUCGAUGCAACGCGAAGAACCUUACCUACUCUU